UCUCAGGCACACCAGGGCUAAGACUGGGUAUUCUGGCUGUUCCGUGAUUUAAAGAGAACUACUGUCCUAAAGAGUAACUCUAUCAACAACAGAAAAGCUGUGAAGGAAGAACAGAGGAUAAUGUGAAAGGGUUUUGUCUGAAUCAUUUGGAGCACAUUUGAAGGGUGAAAAAGACGACAAACAGGAAGCUCGAGAGAUUCGAGCCUGGUUGCUAGCCAUGGAGGAGGAUUUUAUGAAAAAGAGCCAUCCUGAUGUCAUAACACAGCAGCACAUGACCAAUGUGGAUAAGAGCUACUCCGAGACCAAGCGUGCCGAUUCAGGGCCAAACGGCUGCUUGCGGUGCUGCAAGAGUACCAAGAAUUGCCUGAUGAGCCCAGAAUGUGGCAGAGCUCUCAACAUCGCUAGUGUCGUCGCCAUGUGUGGCAUGUGCAUCCGCAUGUGGACAUAGAUUUCUACUGCUUCUGAAUCAAGCACAUUCUGUCUCCUGAUGGUUGCCACCCUGAACUUAGAACAAUAUGAAGCAUCAUGAUUAUGGAAUCUCGACCAAACCUCUAUGAAACCAUUAUUACACACCCUUAGAUUGAACUCCACCCUAUUUGCUAAUCAUAUAUCUUUGACAACAUGCACAACAUUACAGCAUAUCUGUAAGUAAAGAAAUUAUUAAAUAGGUUAAUAAAUGGGUUAAUGAAAAUGUAAUGUAACAACAAGACUUUAAUAAUCUGUGAAUAGCGUAUUUAUUUUUAAUGCAUAAAAUGUUUGAAGGAUUUUACAUGGAUGCCAUCCUCAGGUCUCUGUCUUCCCUCAGCUGCUGUAUCAUGACAUGUAGCAGUGAGCUGUGACUGAAUGCCUGCAGGUGAACAAUCAGUAGAACCCAGACCUUGAUUUUAAGACUCUAACAUUCUACAAAAACCCUGGGUAUUAGACACUUUUAGCUCAGAACAAGGCUGUGAAUGAUGACUUUUCAUCUGCAUUCUGCUACAUAUUAUUCAUAGCGUCGUUACGAUUGUCAUCUGCAACUAAAGUAAUUAAAUUAAAAAAGUCUAGUGGCACUGGAGGUCAUGUUCACUGUCAUUUAGUUUUUAAUUUUCACUUUGUUGACAAUUUUCCUGUUUAAUUACCUUAAAUCAGUUAAGUAAUUUAAUCAUUUGAAGUGUCUUCCCCCACAAUUGCCAUGCUUUUCAUUUGCAUAUGAGUAACGGAGAACAGCCACCUUUUUGGUAUUCUCAACACAUAACCUCAUGUAUUCUAUUAUUCUCAUAACCCGAUUAGACACUGCUAUCUUUUUUUUUUUUUUUCAAACUUAAUCACUUCUAAACUUUUGUGGAUGUAGUCUGAGCUAAAUUUAACAAAGAUGUGACAUCUCUGAUUUUGAUUUAUACUGCUCUCUGCUCUUCAAAAUACAAAGAAAACAUGAUACAUAUCUUUGUCUUAUCUGUGGUCUUGAAUUAUGUACUAUACAUACAAGCAAAACAGCAGCAUGAUAAAUGCAUUCAGAUUGAGUUCAUAGUCGUUGUCUAGUUUGAUCUAGCUAGUUCCUCAAGGACAAAGCGAGGAAGUCAGCUAAAUGGUGCGUGUCAAACGCUUGGAAUUAUAUAGUCUAUCUGACACCAUUGAGCCAAUGUUUACUUUCAUACAUUCAUUCAUUCAUUCUCAAUCACCAGCUUUUUCUGGUCAGGGUUGUGCUAUUAUGAUAGAGAAUAAUGGGUCUGUACAUGCUGCACAGAACACCAGUCCAUCUUGCACCUACCACAUUGACACCUAGAGGCACUUUAGAGAUGCCAGUCAACCGUUUUUGAGGUUGGAAGAAACCAAAAACCCUGGAAGAAACCCACAUGGACACAAGAAGUACAAUAACAAAUCAAUACAUAAAAAAACCUGAAGUCACAAUAGAACCAGGAACCCUGGUGUUGUGAGAUAGCGACGGUGCUUGUUUCAUCAUUGUUCUCAAUUUUCGGGAAAAAAGACACAUAGAAUCUCAACAAACACACUGACACAUUAAAUUAUGAAAGCGUAACAGAAAAAGAAAACACCAUUAUGCUUUCAUAGUGUUUCAUUCAAAGAGUCUAAUUUAUUGUGAGCAUACAGACCUAAAGGUAUUGCAUCGUUAUACCAGCAAACGUUCUGUUAAUCUGACUUAUUUUGACUUUAAAUUAUUGGUAUGUCAUAAACCAAAGGUCAGCUAUUGCUCGCAGUCAUACAUAUUCCCUCCAUGCUCCUAUUAUUUUUCUCUUUCUGACUAUCUGGAGCACCUUUCCAUUUUCAAGGGGCUGUAAGCUCUGCAACUACACUUUAAUGAAUGCAAGGUAAAGAUCAUUCUAACCCUGAGCUCUAGUCUUUCCUGUAAGAGGAAUAAAAUUGUUCGAGUAAAAGCUUUUCUUUCCUUUUCUUUGCAUGCUCCAUCACUUGAUUCAGAUAUCUGCUCCUGACAGCACUUAGCCUUUUCACCUACAUGAACAAGGUGGCCUUUUGAAGCGACUUACUACUUUUUCUCUGUUGGAUGAACUGAGGGUUGUUCUUUUAUUUUUUAUUUCUUUCGCUAGAGAAUCACAAUCACCUUAGUAAUAGAAUCAGAUCUAAAUUGCAGACAUCUUAGCAUCUUGCUGGCUAAUAUCUUGUAUCUUAGGAAUUGUAUUGAUCCUUAUGUAUUUGGACUUGAUGUAGUAAGCUAUUUGAAACCAUUUCAGUUGUAUUUAAGAUGCAAUGUCUGAUAUGUACAAAAUAUAACCUGCCUACAAUAAAGUGCUCUUUCCACUGAUAA
Tachysurus vachellii is the source of this 2758-nucleotide long non-coding RNA. RefSeq lists it as uncharacterized. The transcript has 3 exons. The record is from RefSeq and is a predicted model, not a curated record. Lineage: Eukaryota; Metazoa; Chordata; Actinopteri; Siluriformes; Bagridae.